CAGGUAAGACGAUAGGGUUUAUAUAAUCUGACGUACAGGGACAACAUAACCAGCUCCAUUAUCACUGCAGCUUGCAUAAAACAUUAAAAUUGUCUUACUAUACAACGCGAAAAUGAAGACCGCACUCGUGCUGCUCUUGGUAUUUACGGUUGUUGCUGCUAGUCACGCCGGUGGUUAUGACGAAAAUGUCGUCCUGAAUGUUAUCAAACGCGCGAUAAACAACCACCGGAUGAGAAGGGAAUAUUAUGGCCCAUUUUGUCCACCAUGUUGUCCACCUUACUGUCGUAAGAUCUCCGAGAACUCAAACUUGAAAGAUGCGUCCGUCCAAAAGAUUGUCGAACGCAGCGUGCUGCAGACAAGGAAGUAGAUGCGCAUUUACAAAGGUGUCCGUUAGAUAUCUGUAGAGACCACUUGGAAAACAACCAUUGGAGAAACAAUGAAGUAAAGACAGAUACAUUCAUUACUAUUUGACACUGCUUUUAAUUCAUGGAUUACAUCAAUACUUUUCAGUUUCGAUCUAUUGAAUGUAAUAAAUAAAUUCAGACUUCAAAUCGCCUUUAAUAAAGUUGGAUGUUGAUAUCGA
This is a long non-coding RNA of Lingula anatina, 583 nucleotides long. RefSeq lists it as uncharacterized. Lineage: Eukaryota; Metazoa; Brachiopoda; Lingulata; Lingulida; Lingulidae. The record is from RefSeq and is a predicted model, not a curated record.